RNAcentral lists this ribosomal RNA (496 nucleotides) under uncultured bacterium. Its description in RNAcentral is "partial 16S ribosomal RNA". It matches the Rfam family "Bacterial small subunit ribosomal RNA", at positions 28 to 507 of the family's 1533-position model. The record is from RNAcentral.
GAUGAACGCUGGCGGCGUGCCUAAUACAUGCAAGUCGAGCGAACAGACGAGGAGCUUGCUCCUCUGACGUUAGCGGCGGACGGGUGAGUAACACGUGGAUAACCUACCUAUAAGACUGGAUAACUUCGGGAAACCGGAGCUAAUACCGGAUAAUAUAUUGAACCGCAUGGUUCAAUAGUGAAAGACGGUUUUGCUGUCACUUAUAGAUGGAUCCGCGCCGCAUUAGCUAGUUGGUAAGGUAACGGCUUACCAAGGCGACGAUGCGUAGCCGACCUGAGAGGGUGAUCGGCCACACUGGAACUGAGACACGGUCCAGACUCCUACGGGAGGCAGCAGUAGGGAAUCUUCCGCAAUGGGCGAAAGCCUGACGGAGCAACGCCGCGUGAGUGAUGAAGGUCUUCGGAUCGUAAAACUCUGUUAUUAGGGAAGAACAAGUGUGUAAGUAACUAUGCACGUCUUGACGGUACCUAAUCAGAAAGCCACGGCUAACUACGUG